CAGGAUGAACGCUACGCGGCAGGCCUAAUACAUGCAAGUCGUACGGAUCUCCCCUCGGGGAGUGAGAGUGGCGCACGGGUGCGUAACGCGUAUGCAACCAACCCUCAGUCCGGGGGACAGCCGGUGGAAACGCCGGGUAAUACCCCCAUAUCCACUUUGGGAGGCAUCUUCUGAGGUGGAAAGACUUAGGUCGGAGGAGGACGGGCAUGCGUCCCAUUAGCUAGUCGGCGGGGUGACGGCCCACCGAGGCGACGAUGGGUAGGGGAUCUGAGAGGACGGUCCCCCACACUGGUACUGAGACACGGACCAGACUCCUACGGGAGGCAGCAGUAAGGAAUAUUGGUCAAUGGGCGAGAGCCUGAACCAGCCAAGUAGCGUGCAGGAAGAACCUGCCCUAUGGGUUGUAAACUGCUUUUAUCAGGGAAUAAAGUGCGGCACGUGUGCUGUUUUGUAUGUACCUGAUGAAUAAGGACCGGCUAAUUCCGUGCCAGCCGCUGC
This 498-nucleotide ribosomal RNA is filed under the name uncultured bacterium. RNAcentral's name for it is "bacterial SSU rRNA". It matches the Rfam family "Bacterial small subunit ribosomal RNA", at positions 25 to 518 of the family's 1533-position model. The record is from RNAcentral.